Oryctolagus cuniculus (rabbit) is the source of this 15482-nucleotide non-coding RNA. The record is from RefSeq and is a predicted model, not a curated record. Lineage: Eukaryota; Metazoa; Chordata; Mammalia; Lagomorpha; Leporidae.
CGCGGAGCAGGGCGGGAGGGCUGUUUCCAUAGCAAAGACGGCCGGUUGGGGAUGGCUGGCGGAGAAAUGGGGCAGGCCGCGGGCCCCUCGAAGAGUCGUGCGUGACCUCGGGCAGUCUCUUGGGAGGCCGUUUGCAAUUCUUUAUUUUCUCUUCUAUUCACAUCUCGGGACCCUAGGCCUCAGUUUUCCUAUCUGGGAAAGGGUGGCAACGAGCCGUCCCCUGACCCAUGCCUUGAGGUGAUAAGGCAAACCCAGGGCUAGCCUCUUUGGUUCUUGGCCUGCAAAGGUGAAGGAGGAUGGAGAGGACCUUCCCUGUGCAUUCUGAACCUUACCUUUGCGUUUUUUGUCGCACCAUAUCAUAGAGGAGCAUAACCCAUGGGCCGCCAAGGCCUUCGGGCGUCCUAGGUUCUGGCUUCCUCACCACCGCUGGCUACCACAGCGUCUCCACCAACACCGCCAGAGGGCGCUUCUCUUGCUUAAAACCGGUCAACGGCUUCGCGUUCGUUGCCUCGGGAGUUUCAGAUCGUACUCCUCAGCGUGGCGGGCCUUGCUGGGACAACAGUGGUGACCAGGAUGCACGCCUUGGCCUCAGGUGACAGCCAUUCUUUUGCUGCUGAAAUGCUCUCAUGUGUGUCUCCUCGUACACCUGCAGGGGUUGCUCCAGGGUCUAUGUGCAUCGUGAACUGGAACAGCUACUGUCUCCAGGCAACCUCCCAUCUGCUGCUCGGUGUCUACAGAUGAGUUUGCAUUUUCUGAAUUUUAAAUAAGUGGAUUCAUUUGGUAUGAACUAUUUUUGUUCUUUCAUUCAACAUAAUUAUUUUGAGAUUCCUCCAUGCUCUUGUGUAGACUGAUAGUUCAUUCUGUCUCUUUGCUGAGUAGUAUUCCACUGCAUGGGUUAUUGCACAAUUUGCUUCUCUCUUCACGUGUUGAUGGACAUCCGGGUUGUUUCCAGUUUGGGGCUGUUACAGAUAAAGUUGCUCUAAGUGUUUGUGUAUAAGUGUCUGUGUGAAUACUUGCUUCUCUUCCUCUUGGGUAAAUAAAUAUUUAGGAAUGGCCAUGUGAUAGAUAUACUCACGUUUCACUUAAAAUACAUGUUUCUAGUUUAUUGAUUAAAGAGACAGAGUGAGAGUGAGAGUGAGAGUGAGAGUGAGAGAGAGAGAGAGAGAGAGAGAUCCAGUUCAAUGGCUCCUACAAUGGCCAAGGCUGAGCCAGGGCUAGAGCCAGGAAUUGGGAAAUUAAUCCAGGUCUCCCAUGUGAGUAGUAGGAACCCAAUUACCUGGGCCACAACCUGCUGCCUCACAAGGUCUACACUGGGGAAGCCUGGAGUGAAGAGCUAAAGAUGGAAAUCAAAUAUAGACACUUAGAUGUGGGAUAGGGUGUUUUAACUGCUAGGUUAAAAGCCCACUGCCGGGCUGGCGCCGCAGCUCAAUAGGCUAAUCCUUUACCUUUUGGCGCUGGCACACCGGGUUCUAGUCCCGGUCGGGGCACCGGAUUCUUUCCCAGUUGCCCCUCUUCCAGGCCAGCUCUCUGCUGUGGCCCGGAGGUGCAGUGGAGGAUGGCCCAAGAACUUGGGCCCUGCACCCAUGGGAGACCAGGAGAAGCACCUGGCUCCUGCCAUCGGAUCAGUGCGGUGCGCCGGCCGCGGCAGCCAUUGGAGGGUGAACCAAUGGCAAAAAGGAAGACCUUUCUCUCUGUCUCUCUCUCUCACUGUCCACUCUGCCUGUCAAAAAUAAUAAAAAUUAAAAAAAAUUUAAAAAAAGCCCACUGCCAUAAAAAAUUAUUUGAAAGGUAGAAAUACAGACACAGAGAGACAUAGUAUGUUUUACUUUUAAAAAAAGAUUAUUUAUUUAUUUGAAAGGCAAAGUGACAGAGAGAGAGAGAGAAAUAGAGAGAGUAGAGAGCUCUUCCAUCUACUGGUUCACUCUCCAGAUGACCACAAUGGCCUGGGCAUGGCCAGGAGCCAGGAGCUCCAUCUGGGUCUCCCACGUAGGUGGCAAGGGACCAUCUUCUGCUGCUUUUCCAGGCACAUUAGCAGGGAGUUGGAUCAGAAGUGGAGCAGCUGAAACUUGAAUCAGUGCUCAUAUGGGAUGCUGGCAACCUGAUGCACCACAGUGCCCACCCCAAGUGUUUUACUUUUUAAGAAAGUGCCAAGCUGUGUGCCAAAGUACCCAUUGUGUUUCACAUUCCCACCAGCACUGGAAGAGCCUUCCUCAGCUGGCUGCAAGCUACGGGAAUCUUAGUACUGAGUCUCCGUUAGAUUGGCCCAGCUAGUGACUACAGCUGAAGCCCAAGACCUGCACUCCCAGGUCCUGGCCAAAGAGCUGGACUGUCCCGUGUGCCUUCCCAAGGUGGUGUUGGUGCCACCUUCUCUCAGGAGGCUUUUGGCACGUGGGCUGCCCCAGGGGCUUCAGGAAUUGAGCAGGACCAGGAGGGGUGAUGAGCUGUGGGGACUUUCCAGCUCAGCACCUGUGAGGAUCCCUCUGGACCUGCAGAGUCCAUGAUCCCAGAUUGCAGAAGUUAGUUUUUGCACAGAUGAAUUCUCUGAGCUGAUGUCAGGGCUCCCACAUACCAUAGGAGCAGCCAUGGUCCCUGGCUCAGGGCCCUGCUCCAGGGAAGUAGCUCCUGAGUCCAGGGCCCCAGAGCCCUCAGGGUCUUCUCAGAUGGAAGAAUGCUGAUUUCCCACAGGAAAGCUGUGGACAGAAUCAGGACUAGAGGCCAAUCUCAAUGUCAGGGUCACUAGUGACCACUGCUGCGGCCUGGCCAUUCUGAUUUGUGACUCAGGAUCUCUGGUGUUCCACACAAUGUGCAAGGUGUGAGUCCUUCUAGAGUUUGGGGUAUGCUAUUCAUUCAUUCACCCACUAAUUCAUGCAUCAGCCUUCAUCAGUGCCUCCUCAGAAUUAGAGUUAACUCAGGCAGGUUGGGGUGCAGUUGUGAGAACCCCUUCCUUCCUGUCCCUGCCAUGGGAUUUCAAGAGAAUUUAACAGGAGGGGCAUUGAUGGUUUCUUCACAGACAGUGACCAGUUCUUGUCUGGGACAGUCGGCAGGAGGGCGGUCGUGGGAUCUGAGCAGGGCCGUGGUGGUAGGAGGGAGGACAAGGCAGCGCAGGGUGAGGGGGUGGUCAGCUCUUGCUUCUCGUGGUUCUAAUACUACUCUCACUGGCACCUGCCAGACACUGAGUGCAUUUCUGAUGUGUAGAUGAGCAGGUCAUGGAGGGGAAAGGAUGGCUGCUUGGUCUCAGGAGCGAAGCCUGAAACCAGCCCUUGGAGGUGGCUGUUGGGCCAAGGCAUGCAUCUCCCCACCCAGCCACCCCUGCCUGAGCGGCCAUCCUUCCUGAGGUGAAGGGGGGACCUCAGAUGUCCUCGCACCCCCACCCCACCCCAGAUUCAGCAGGAAGCCACAGACUAACGUCUGAUAGUCCUCAGCCUUUGACUCCCUGAGUCUCACCGUCAUCCACCAAAGGUAGGUGCUUGAUCCCUUCCUGCCCCAGAUUCCUCAAGGCAGUGAAGGGUUCCCUGGGGCCAUGACUUUGAACUGCUGAUAAGCAGUGGCCUUGGUUUACCUUGGAUACCCCAUCCUCUGGGGCAGGAGGAGAGGAGCAGGGAAACCAGAGGCUGGUGGGGGAGGCUCGAUCCUUGUCAAGGAGGAACUGACUGAGUCUCAGCUGGAAUCAGGAGCCUCUGCAUUGUGUGACCUUUUCUUGGUUAUGUACAGCGAGGGCAGCGCAGGCCAGCCCGUCAGUAGAAGGACCCAGAUGGCCUCCGAAUGGCAUUCACCAAAACCAGUUUCCUUUCAAAUUAGUGUGCUGGGUAGGGCGGGGAGCAUGGGCUGCUGGGUGUGUUAGUGUAGGUGGGGCCCUGGGGAUGCAUGGGGCGGGGGAACAGCCUGGAGGCCUGGGUUCCAAGCCCUUGUGUCUCCCCCAACCAUGAGAGGGAAUCCCUUCUCCUCACUGGGCCGACUCUGGCUCUGAUCCCAGGGGACUGCAAAUCCUUGUUUGUGUCCCAGUCCAGAUACUAGGCACAGGUGGUGGUGGGGAAGAAGGCAGCAGAGCAGAAGCUGCUCCCUCCUGCCUCUCUGGCUAAGGUUUCAGCUAUUCAGCCAGUUGGCACCAAGUGUUUACAAUGAGUGCAUCUCAGCCUGAGAUCUAAGGGGGGUCUAAAUCAGACCACCUGGGAGGGUUUGAUGCGUUAUGAUCAAUGAGGUUAUUUGGUCACUGGCUCCUUGUUAUAGUGAACUGCCUUUUAGGUCACCUGGGGUUUCAGAGCUAGGAGAGCACUUAGAGGUGUCCACUCACUCCUUUAGUUCAUAGAGGAUGAAUCAGAGACCUUGAGGGGUAGGAAGAAAUGGCAGCCUCAUCUGCAUGGGCCCCAUGGACUCCUAGGGAUCUCAGUGCUUUGGCCUUCUGGGUUGGCAGUGGUCUUUGGUUCUGUCACUGCCACCACCUUGGCCUAUUGCCUGCCCUGUGGCGUGAUCAAUAGGGUCUUCCUUUUCCUGUUAUUAAGGAGAGAGGAGAGCCUGUCUGGGCAGGCCUGGCUGGUGAAUGAGGCCCUCCUGUAAGCCAGGCUUCUGCAGCAAUUGGUAGCAUCCCCAGGGUUGGGGAACAGUUGUCCACGUGUAGGAGUUUGGACUCAGAUAACACAGGUGAGGAGUCCAUAGCCAGAGUGGGGGGUGGGGCCUGGGUCCCGACCCAGUGCCAGGAGAUAAGGUUGUGAAGUGCCAGGCAGUGCCUGGUAGAGUGGGGAGCCGUGGCUGUAGCUGUCAUUCUCAGGCUGGGGCUGAGGCUUUACUGGUAAAGACCCGAGCCAGGCACUGAGUGGUGGUGUCAGCCUGAGGCACCAGGAAGAGGCCUAGUGAGGAGGUGCUUGGGCACAGGCCAGAUGGUCCAGCCAGGCAUUCAUCCCUGGACUCAGGACAUGAAUUCCUGCCAGCAACUCAGGUGCAGCCAGAGGGUGACCCUUCUAUCUCAUGCAGCCCUGCCAGGAAGUUUCCCCCGGGCAGCUGCCACCCGGCCUCAGGGGAGGGAGGAGGAAUGCAGAUCUGGGCGGGGCAUGCCCCAGGAGUGAGGCUGUGAUCUGGGUGCUGUAUUUGUGCAGCAAGCACUCCCGCUGGGUUAUUGGCACCACCUGGAAGCUACAGAUGUGGGGUACACAGCCCAGGGAGUGUGGCCUUGCCCUAAGACAGGUGCCCCCCCCCCCGACAGGUGCCUCUAACCCUUUCUCUGUGCCCUCCAUACCUGUCUAGGUCCCAUGUGGAGAUGCCCCUGGCUGCUUGCCCAGUGAGCAAGAGAGGAAGAGAAUGCAGCCAGACAGAUGGGCCCUCAGCACCCAGGGGCCACUGCCAGCCUGCAAGGGAUGAGGGAUGACCUGAAGCCCUAGCACAUCUGUGAGGGGGGAAAUGAGCAGGCUGGAUGAGCCCCUGACCCUGACCUUUUUGGUGACCACUGAGAACUUCCAGACUCAAACCUCUGAUGCUUCAGAUGCAAGCAGACACUGCCGCCAUCUUCUCUCCUCGUGCCUAUUCCGCUCUUGGUGCCCCUGAUCCUGCCCCUUAACCAUCCCUUCCUUGCUCUUCCAAAUUUUUCCUGCCUACCCCUGGCCCAUCUUAGUCCCUCCACAUCCUGCAGGCAGCCUUCUCUCCUGGACCAGCCAUGCGGACGCCUGUCCCUAGCUCUGCCUGGUUCUGUGGUACAUGCAGCGGUUGUUGGUCUCCAGCGAGGGCAGGUUGAGGGGGUGAUGAGGAUCUGGCAGUGGAGACAGUGAGACAGGAAUAGUCGGCGGGGAGCCAGGCCUGUCUGGCCAGUGUAUCUGGGGACUGGGCACAGCAAUGGUAGACCUGGCCCUAGACUAGCUGGCGGGGUCAGGCUGGUGCUUCACCAGCGUAUUAGUCAGGGCUGUGCUCAGUGGCAGAGACCUGGGGUUCUGGCCUCUCUGAAGGAUGGGGUGAAGGCUAUGGCCUCCCCUGGGACUCAUGGCAGCAGGAAUCAGGAAAUGAGGCAGGGUGACUGGAUAUGAUUGGGAGUCAUUAGAAGGCCUAUUGUGGGUGCAAAGGCAAACACCCCAGUUUGUGGGGCUCCACCUGCUAAAUGGGGCAGUACCUCUUUCCCAACAGGCUUGGAUCAGAGUUUGUGGGAGGCAACCAUGGAGCAUUUGACAGGGCAGCCCCACCCAUCGUUUAAUCCCACCCCCACUUAGUACCUUGAGGGCAUCAGUGCCCCAAGAGGGGCCGCUAGGAGUAGCUGGAGAUAUUCUCAGAAGCAACUGUCACAGCCUGACCUAGUCACCACUCAGCCGGCCCACCUAUCACAGAUGAGAAAUUCAGGGGUGGGGGGCAGCAAGCACCAUUCAUGGUGAGCCUGGCACAGCCCUGUGCCUGCUACCUGCCCUCCACUCCCACACAGGCUUCGUGAGGGCCUGGGUUCUCCCAGCGCCCGUGGGACCAGCGUCUGGACCUGGGUCAGUGACUACAGGAUUAGCUGGUGACAGAGCUAGUUCAGCAUUAUUAGUCAUUAAGGAAAUGCAAACUAGAGCCACAGAGAAGUGCCGCCACAUGACUGUUAGUCUGGCUGAAAGAAAAAAUUUGACAACAUCACGUGCUGAUCAGGACACAAAGCAACUGGAACUCUCAGACAUGCUGGAGAAAAUGCAAAAUGGUACAGCCACUUUGGCCAGCACUUGGCAUUGUCUAAAGUUAAGCAUGCACUUGCCAUACAACCCAGCAAUCUUAUUGCUAGAUAUUUCCCCAGGAGAAAUGAAAAUUUAGGCUCACACAAAAUCCUAUAUACAACCACUUAUAGAAGCUUUAUUCAUAAUCACCCCAAACUGAAAAUAAUCCAAAUGUCCUUCAGCUGGUGAGCAAACAAAAAACUAUGAUACAUACAUCCAUAGUAUGGAAUACUAUACAGCCAUAAAAAGGAAUGGACUAUAUUGAUAAGAGUAACAAUGUGGGAUGGAUCUCAAAUGUGCUAUGUUACAUGAAAGAAGCCAGACUCAACAAGUUCCAUACUUACAAUUCUGUUUACAUUUCUGAAAAAGCAAAACAGAUCAGUGGUUGCAGGAGCCUGUGGGCAGUGAUGGUGAGGUUGACUUCAAAGGGGUACAAGGGAAUUGUGGGGGGCUGGUAGAAGUACUUUAUAUGUUGAUUGUGGUGAUGAUUACGUGGCUGUAUGCAUUUAUCAAAACUCAUAAAACUGGGUUUAUCCUAGUAGUUGAGACAGUAAUUAAUACCCACAUUCUAUAUAGCCUGGGUUUGCUGCCUGACUGUCGCUUUUGAUGCCAGCUUCCUGCUAAUACACUCCAUGGGAGGCAGUGGUGAUGGCUCAAGUAACUGGGGUCCUGCUACCAAUGUGGGAAUCCUGAAUUGAAUUUCCAGCUUCUGGCUUUGACCCAGCCCAGCCCUGGCUGUUGUUGGGAAGUGAACCAGUGGAUGAGAACUCUGUCUCUGUGUUGCUCUGUGUGUAUAUGUGUGUCUGCCUCUCAAAUUUAAAAAGGUCAUAGAACUUUACCCCACAAUAGGUGGAUUUUACUGCAUGCACGUAAAACUUCAAUAAACCUGACUAUAAAAGACACACCCAUCCCAGGGACUUGGAGUGUGUUUUCUCAUCCAUUCAGUCAUUUGAUUGCUCCCUCAGCAGGCAUUCAUUGAGUGCCUAUACCAGAUAUCAUGUCCAUUAAAUCUUCCCUAAGAGCUUCAGGCUCCUGUGUCACAUGGAAACCCCCAUAGGAAGAGCAGCCAGAGCCAACCCUCGACGGCUGUGGAUGAGUGUGAAGUUCCCUGUGGGUACAUUCCCAUGGGGUCAGGCUUCCUGGCUCGGAGCCUCUUGAGGGAGUCCAAACUCUAGAAAGUGUGGCUAAAGUGGUGGAGCCAAGAAGGGUCACUUGGGAGGGAUUUGCUUCCUCACUGAGGCAUUGUCCCCACAGAAUUUGAGCAGGAUGUGGCCAGGUAGCCAUGCCCCUCAAGGUUCUGUCCACAGAGCCUGGCCAUGGUGGGGAAGCAGGGCCUAGGCACAUUUGCUCGGGGGCUCCUCCCCUGUUCACGAGGAUGUCUGUGUCUGCCCACCUGAGACGGAAGUGGCCUUGGCUUCCCUGGUGAGAACUCAUGUGAGAAAUCUUAAGAUGAACUCAUGGUGUGGGGCAUGCAUCCAGAAUCAUUGUCCUAUGGAACAAAGAACAAACCAGAACUGAGGGUGUCAACCCCGACAUCUUAAAAAUAUGAACGGAGUAGAGAACAAAUGACAAGAUGGAUGGAGAGGACACCGUUUAGUGUGUUAAAAACAUAGAACAGUGCCAUAUAUUGUAACAGAUACAAACUCAAAAACUUAAAAAACAUGAACGGGCUGGCACCGUGGCGCAGUAGGUUAAUCCUCCACCUGUGGCACUGGCAUCCCAUGUGGGCGCCGGUUCUAGUCCCAGUUGCCCCUCUUCCAAUGCAGCUCUCUGCUGUGUCCUGGGAAAGCAGUAGACGAUGGCCCAAGUGCUCGGGCCCCUGCAAUUGCAUGGGAGACCAGGAAGAAACUCUUGGCUCCUGGCUUCGGAUCGGCGUAGCUCUGGCUGUUGCGGUCAUUUAGGGAGUGAACCAAUGGAAGGAAAACCUUUUUUUUUUUUUUUUUUUGACAGGCAGAGUGGACAGUGAGAGAGAGAGACAGAGAGAAAGGUCUUCCUUUUGCCGUUGGUUCACCCUCCAAUGGCCGCCGCGGCUGGCGCGCUGCGGCCGGCGCACCGCACUGAUCCGAUGGCAGGAGCCAGGAGCCAGGUGCUUUGGAAGGAAAACCUUUCUCUCUGUCUCUCCCUCUCACUGUCUGUAACUCUACCUCCCAAAUAAAUAAAUAAAAUCUUUUUAAAAAAAGAAAAAAAAAACCAUGAACAAGAAGGAGACAUACUAACUUCAGAAGUGGAUUAGUUUUGAGGAGGACUGUUAGUGAGAAAGAAAACAAAGAAGGCAAAAUGUUAGCACUUGUUAAACCUGAGGUGCAUGAGUUAUACGGAGGGAGUGCUACCUCCCAAAUAAAUAAAUAAAAUCUUUUUAAAAAAAGAAAAAAAAACAUGAACAAGAAGGAGACAUACUAACUUCAGAAGUGGAUUAGUUUUGAGGAGGACUGUUAGUGAAAAAGAAAACAAAGAAGGCAAAAUGUUAGCACUUGUUAAACCUGAGGUGCAUGAGUUAUACGGAGGGAGUGUGUUACAUAACAUUUUCUGUACUUUGGGUUGAAAUAUUUUGUGCUUUCAAAGCCAGACAGCCAUUGCAGUACACUGAGCUCCACAGAGACAGCGCUGUGGCAAGUGAGAGCUGGAGGGGUACUGGGGGUGACUGUGCCUUGCUGAGGAGAAAUAACUAAACAUGGGCAAAGGAGAUCCUAAGAAGCAGAGAGGCCAAAUGUCACCGUACGCAUUCCUUGUGCAAACUUGGCAUGAGGAGCACAAGAAGGAGCAUCUAGAUACUUCCGUCAACUUCCCGGAGUUUUCUAAGAAGUGCCCAGAGAGGGGGAAGACCGUGUGUGCUAAAGAGAAGGGAAAAUGUGAAGACAGGGCCUAGACACACAAGGCUCAUUAUGAGAGAGAAAGAAACCUAGCUCCUUCGUAAAGGGGAGACCCCCCCCCAAAAAAAAGAAAAAAGAAGAAGAAGAAGAAGUUCAAGGAUCCCCAAACACCUAAGAGGUCUCCUUCAGUCUCUGUCUUUCUUCCUUCCCCCCUUCCUUCCUUCCUUUAUUUCUUUUUUGGUCUUUUUCUUGUUCUGUUCUGAGUAUCUCCCAAAAAUCAAAGGAGAACAUCCUGGCCUUUCCACUGGCGAUGUUGCAAAGAAGCUGGGAGAGGUGUGGAGUAUCACUGCCGCAGAGGCCAAGCAGCCUGGGAGAGAGGGCUGCUAAGCUGAAGGAAAACUACGGAAAGGAUAUUGCCGCACGCCGAGCUUCAGGAAAACCUGAUGCGGCAAACGGAGCUGUCCGGGAUGGAAAGAGCCAGGAGAGGAAGGAAGAGGAGGAAGACGCAGGAGAAGAUGAAUGAGUUGGUUCUAGUGAAGUUUUUUUUUUUCUUGUCUAGAAAGCAUUUAACCCCCCCUGUACACAACACACUGCUUUUCAAGAAAAAAAAAUUGAACUGUAAGGCUGUGUAAGAUUUGUUUUUAAACUGUAACAGUGUCUUUUUCUGCUUAGUUAACGCACUACCAAAUGGAUCCUUAGAGAGCCUUGUCCUGGUGGUAUUUUUUUUUUUUUUUUUUUGACAGGCAGAGUGGACAGUGAGAGAGAGACAGAGAGAAAGGUCUUCCUUUUGCCGUUGGUUCACCCUCCAAUGGCUACCGUGGCCGGCGCUGAUCCGAUGGCAGGAGCCAGGUGCUUCUCCUGGUCUCCCAUGUGGUGCAGGGCCCAAGGACUUGGGCCAUCCUCCACUGCACUCCCGGGCCACAGCAGAGAGCUGGCCUGGAAGAGGGGCAACCGGGACAGAAUCCGGCGCCCCGACCGGGACUAGAACCCGGUGUGCUGGCACCUCAAGGCGGAGGAUUAACCUAGUGAGCCAUGGCGCUGGCGUGGUAUUUUCAAUAGCCAUUAGCCUUGCCUGGUACAGUAUGGGGGUUGUAAGUUGGCGUGGAAAUUUAAAGCAGGUUCUUGUUGGUGCAUAGCAUGGAUUCGUUGUAGAGAGGUGGUGGUUUUUUCAUCUUCAGUUGUCUCUGAUGCAGCGUAUCUGAAAUAAUUGUUCUAUUACCUGAAUGCUACUCUGACUUGCAGCUGUUUUGUUGACACUGCAAAUGCUUCUAAGUAAAUACAAUUUUUUAAGUAAAGAAAAUAAAAAUAAAAGCAAGCCAAGGGACAAGAGUUCAUCUUAGUGAUGAAGACACCAGUUAAGGGUGAGAGUGUUGUGGCAAAAGGGGCUAAAUCGCCACCAAUUGCAACAUCCGCAUCCCGGGUUGGAGGUCCUGGUUGGAGUCCUAGCUACCCUGCUUCCAAUUCACUUCCCUCCUGACGUGCUGGGAAGGCAGUGAAUGAUGGCCUAGGUGCUCGGGUCCCUGUCACCCACGCGGGAGACCUGGAGGAGUUCUUGGCUGCUGGCUUUGGUCUGGCCCAAGCCAGGUUGUUGUGGACAUUUGGGGAAUGAGCCAGCAGAUGAGAGAUCUCUCUUUGUUACUCUGCCUUUCAAAUAAAGAAAUUGGUUACAAUGGUAAGUUGUAUGUUAUCUAUAUUUUGCCACAAUAAAAAUAAAUAAAAACAAGUCAGAACAGGCAAAUCUCUAGAGACAGAAAGUACAUCAGUGGCUGCCUGGGGCUGGGGAGGAUGCCAGGAAAAUGGCUAGGGUGUAGGCUUUCUUUCUGGGGAAAGCAAUGUCCUGAAAUCGAUUUUACUGAUGGAUGCACAACCCUGGGACCACACUGAACGCCAUGAGUGGAAGGCUUUCAGGGGCUGAGAUGUGUUAUACGUGACCUAUAUCUCAGUAAAGUUGGUUUCAAAAAGUCAAAAGGGGAAAUCGUGUCUGCGUCGGCCACCUGACAGGAGCCAGCGGUCUGUCUGCUCUGAGCUUGGCACUGUCAUGAGUAUUGUGGAGGCAUCCGGAGCUCCAAAACCACCACGUGGCACAGGGAGUCGUAGGCGCUGCAGAACGAGGUUAAUGAGAAUCGUCUCUGGGCUCCAGGGUUUUGAGCAUUAAUUAAUACUCUCAAGGCCCUUGGUGACUGUGAAAUCAAAGGUUCUGCAAAUGUGUGCAUGCUGGCCUUAGCAGCACCGAGCAGGUACAGGGAGCAGGAAGCCAGCCUUCUUAGCAUUCAUUUAGCUCCCUGAAGUGGCUGCGAGUCCAGGCCAGGCUGAAGCUGUCUGUCUGGGCCUUGUCCUGCUUCCCAGGCCAUUCCUAGGCCUGAGUGGUCUGGAUGGCCCAGAGCUCCAGGGUGGCUGCCCUGGGUGCCCCGGGUGGCCAGGGCCCUCUCUCAGUGACUGUCCCUUCAGGCCUAGAGAAGACUUCAAGUGAGGGUGGCGGACAGCUUCCCAGGUGGCCAGUCCUUUGGGCGUUGUGUGUGCCUACUAGGAUUCAGCACAGCCAGGCCCUGUGGGACCCUGCCUGCAGCACUCAUUCUGUCCCUCUGCCCAGGGCAUCCUGCAGCUAUCACACCAUCCCAUUUUGCCUUAGCUCAGGGAUUUCCUGCCUGUUAGCUCCAUCCUGCUGCUGUCCAAGAACUCUCCCGAGAAGGGCCCUGGGUUGUCCCAAGGCCAAGUGGCACAGCCUCUCCCCCUCCUUUGUUCUGGCUUUGGUCACCCAGGCAUGGAGUCUCAGAGCACACCACCCCAUGGGCCCACAUGCAGGAGCACCGCACUCUCUCCCCAGAGCCCCUGCUUGUGCUGGGCCACGUAAUACCCUCCCCUGCAGCUGUGGCCACAAACCCACUUGUAAUCACUGGGUGGUUCCCUAACCAGGGAGGGAGGAGACAGAAACAUGCACAGGCCAGGAUCCAGGAUCUGUGGUCUUGACACUUGGAGCUCUGGGAUGGAAACCCUGGGGGCCCUUCAGCUUAGGGAUCCUGGGGGCCCAUGACUUUGAUGAUCUGCAGCCCAGGAGACACAUGGCCCUGGGUGUCCACAACCCGGGGAACUCAUAGUCUCCAAUACCUGAUGACCCUGGAGCCUGUGACCCUGGGCCAGCCUCUUGCACGUGGACUUCUGUAACCAAGCCCUGCAGGGGAGCCUGCUGAGAGUGGUGCUGAGGGGAUGCAGUGCUGAGAUGCAACACAGCCUUCCCCAUGCUGGGUCUGUUUCUGGGGACUAACCCAGCCCUCCACGGUUCCUCCGGGUAAGCUGCAUCCUCGUGGAUGGACACUGGUCACUCCUGCCAGGUAGCUCUAAAGAUCACGAACCUUGUCAUCCAUAUCGGCCGUCCCUCCCUUCCUCUCCCUCCCAGCUGCCUGUCAUCCUCUAUCACAGCCAACUAUUAUUAGGUCUUUCCUUAAGCAGGGCCUGUCAAACCAGAUGGGGCUGCGGCCAGAGCCUGAUGGCUGCCUGCCAGCGACCUCCCACAGGGAGGCAGGGUAGUAUUGUGGUUAGACCCACAGGCACUGGAGACAGCUUCCUGGGUUCAAACUCUGUGUCUACCUCUUUCCUGCUAUGUGAUCCUCAGUAGGCUGCUUAAUCUCUCUGCUCCAUCUGCAAAAUAAGGGCGAGUGCUUUGCAUGGGCCUGGCAUCCAGUAAACACCCAAGGAAGGUCAGCUGACAAUGGUGCUGAAUUGACUGCUUCUAAAUCUCCCCGUACAGCUGUCUGUCCUCCACAUCUAAGAAUGUGUCCCAUGAGAGUGGGCCAGGCCUCUUCCCCAAGCCCAGUGACCCCUGUCCCCCAGCUCAGCAGAGGAAGAACUGUCCAUACUAGAUGGAUGCUGGUAUUCCCAAUGCAAUGUUGGUAUGCCAUGCUCAACUGCUGUCAGCACCACUAAGAACUGCCCCUCCAACACCUUAGUCCCCCCACCCCACUGCCUCCCAGGGGGCUGAGGCUACAUCCCAGGAGGGCCUCUGCAUGGUCAUACCAUCCCAGGGGCAGCAGGGAGGCAGCCAGCUUUCUUCUAUUCCUAGUUCAAGUUCUCUGCCACUGCAGCCCAUCUCUAAUUUGGAAGUUCUCUUAUUAUGUUUUCUUCAUGUGGCUCAGGGGAAAAUCAAAUGAAAGGGGAAUUCCCGGGUGUGUGGUGAGGGGUGGCUGCUGGCAGACAGCAACUGCAUGUCCCUGCCUAGAUGGCACAUCUGUGCUGCCCAGGAGCAUCAGAAUAGAAAGGGCCUUUCCUGGGCAUGGGUAUGGGAUACUCCUGGGCUGGGGUGCCCCCAGUUGCAGGAACAGAUGGGAGCCUGAAUCGUGUCUUUGCCAUCAGCUCCCUCAGUGCCCUAGCACAGAUGCUACCUCUCCAGGCCUCAUCGGCCCGGUCUUCAAAAUGGGAAUGACAAGCUGGCUCAGGGUCCAGAGGACUACGGCACAAUCCCCUUACAGAGGGUGGAGGAUCGCUUAGCUGCCAGCGUAAGGGAGGCCGAGGCCCAGUUUAGCUCACCCCUGGUGCCCAAGGCCCCCAUCCUCACAUCUCUCUCACCUCCUUUCCUGGUCAGCAGUGUCUGCUGGUCUGGGGGUCCCAGGAGAGGCCACUCCAACCUCCUAUCUGUGUAUGUAUGUAUAUGUGUGUAUGUAUAUGUAUGUAUGUAUAUGUGUGUAUGUAUAUGUAUGUAUAUAGGUGUGUGUGUAUAUAUAUAUAUAUUUAAAAGGAAGAGAGACAGAGAGAGAGAGAGAAUGAAUAGCUUCCAUUUGCUGGUUAACACCCCAAAUGGCCACGAUGGUCAGGGCUGGGCCAAGCCAAAGCCAGGAACCAGGAACUCCAUCCAGGUCUUCUAAAUGGGUGGCAGGGACCCUAGUACUUGGGCCAUCUUUCACUGCCUUCCCAGGUGCAUUAGCAGGUAGCUGGAUCAAAAGUGGAGCAGCUAGGACUUGAGGCGAUGCUCCAAAAUAGGAUGCUGGCAUUGUAGGUGGUAGCUUAGUCUGCUGUGCCACAAUGCUGGCCCCAAGAGCAGAGAGUCUGAAUGAUGUUGAUGGUGGCUGGGGAGCUGUGGAUAUUGACUGCUAGUUUUUCCAAUGGGCAGAGGGUACCAAGUCCAGCUCAUUCUACACAUGGGAUGUGAGAAAGUUUGGAGAUAGAGUGUGGUUCACUUCCAGGGGACAAGUCACACUGUGCCACUCUUGCAUAGGAUAUAUUCGAGGGUAUUAGGAAGUGGUGGUACCCGGCUGGCAGGGAUGGAUCACAUUGGUGCUAUGAGCCAGGUCCAGAAACGACCUUACCCUGAAGGCAAUGGGGAGCCAUAGGUGGUUGUAGGUGGGGAGUGCCAUGAUCAUGUGCUCUAAGGUUCAUUCUAGUUGUAAGUAUGGAGAUUGAACUGGAGGUAUGAGAACAGGUCUGAGAGGCCUGAAAGAGAGCAAAGGUGGGAGGUUGGCAAAGAGGGCAUGAACAAGUGAGAAUUAAGGAAGUAAAACUGGCAGGACAUGUUAUAUGGGUCCUUGGGCCCCUUUUGUUACCCUGAUGAGUUGUAGAAGCCUAUGGGAGGGGCUAAGCAUAUCAGGUCCCAUGUGAGGUCCCUGACUUAAUUCUACUGCCCAUCCUCAAGUGACCUUUGAAGUAGAGAACCAUCAUGCCCAAGAAGGAAACCCAGUUGGGUAGUGAGGCUGCAAGGAUCAGGAUUCAAAUCUCUCAGCGUGAGCCAGUGGGCCACAAGGCGCUGGGUCUCAGACAAACAUGUUUGCAGGUAGCCAGAGCAAUUCUUCCUAUGAAGGGCGCCAGGUGUGGCUGCAAGGGCUCCCUGCCCCUGCCUCACUGCCUGCCCAGUCCCCAGUGCUGUGACUCUGCCUACCUUUGAGGUAGGGUUCCAGGGCCCCAAAUGACUCAUCACCUAUUCACAGAAGGCCAGAGCAGGAUCAGCCAGGGCUGGGCCACAGGGACUGUGAAGUAUAGGCAGCUUCUAGAUGUCUAAACUCAGUGAUCCUCAGUACAAGUUAGUGCU